UGGUUCAAAUGGUAGAGCACCUGCCUAGCAAGCAGAAGGCCCUGAGUUCAAUUCCCAG
This 58-nucleotide transfer RNA is filed under the name Dipodomys ordii (Ord's kangaroo rat). It matches the Rfam family "tRNA", at positions 8 to 63 of the family's 71-position model. From Rfam's summary of the family: Transfer RNA (tRNA) molecules are approximately 80 nucleotides in length. Lineage: Eukaryota; Metazoa; Chordata; Mammalia; Rodentia; Heteromyidae. The record is from Rfam by way of RNAcentral.